Molecule: long non-coding RNA, 718 nt
Organism: Anguilla anguilla (European eel)
Lineage: Eukaryota; Metazoa; Chordata; Actinopteri; Anguilliformes; Anguillidae
Exons: 2
Source: RefSeq, a predicted model, not a curated record
CAUUUAUUUUUCUACUUACAAAAGUACGGCGGAAUAAAUUGAACUCUUAAAAAUACCACAUUAUUGGCGAGCCAGCCCAAAUCCGUCGUUCUUGUUGCAUUUUUCAAAAAAAAAAAAAAAAACUGGGGAGGCUGACAUUCGCGUGUGACACUGGCCUACAGAAGAGACUUUCUUUUUUACGUUGACGCCAAAUUCAAGAAAGGAUUACAGCAAGAGGAGGACUGUUUUGGAAGCAAUUUGCCAACGCUGAAGGAAAAACGGACUUGAAGGCACGGAACAGACCACGUACAUUUAACUAAUUGAGAUGAGGACGAGGCUCCCGGUAUUCUGGAACUGGGGGUCAGUACUAAGUGGGAUGUUCCUGUCAUAUUCAUAAACGACACACAAUGUGUCAAGGACGAUACAAGCAGUUGCAGUUGGAUUCACCAAAUGAACAUCAGACAGGUGGAAAGACAAUGAAGCAUUGACAACAGAGGACACAUGGAAUGUGUCAAGCAAAUCUCCAUAUAGAUCACAUAUGAUUGAGAGUGGAAGAAAGUUUCCAAGAAUACACUAAUUCAUUAUGACAGUAAAAGCACGUAAUUGGACACAUUAUGAUAACACAAUAACUAGUUGGGAUGAGGGACAGGAUAACCAGGGGAGAUGGGCCAUGGAGCAUGAAUCUACAUAUUACCCUGGUCUAACAAUGAUGCAUCUAAAUUUAUACGGUUAAAAAAAA